AUGUCCCUGAUAUAUUAUAGUUCAUCACGAAGCUCUAGCAGCUUGGUGGUAAUGACUUCGGAGAAACAUCAAUAUCUCAUCUGGAAGAUCAACUCCCACUUGAUUCAAAUGAUUGUUGUACUCAGACAAUCUGAGCACAAGCUCAACAAUGAAGCUUUUCUCCUUAGUUUGCAGGCUAAGAAAAUCGUCGGAGGUCUCAUACCUCUUGACGUGGGCACGAGCCUGAAAUCCCAAUUUCAGCCCUCGAAACAUCUCAUAUGUUUCGCGACGUUUCAAAACCGUCUUCGGUGCCUCAAUUAUAAACCGUUUAACUGA
Molecule: ribosomal RNA, 315 nt
Filed under: Triticum aestivum (bread wheat)
Lineage: Eukaryota; Viridiplantae; Streptophyta; Magnoliopsida; Poales; Poaceae
Description: partial small subunit ribosomal RNA
Source: RNAcentral